This 203-nucleotide long non-coding RNA is filed under the name Salvia miltiorrhiza (redroot sage). RNAcentral's name for it is "long non-coding RNA (SMIL_LNC009180)". Lineage: Eukaryota; Viridiplantae; Streptophyta; Magnoliopsida; Lamiales; Lamiaceae. The record is from RNAcentral.
CAGCAAAUGUGGUAAAGAGGUUGCGUAGGUGUAGAAAAUGAAUAAUUCGAUUUGGUUGUAAUGUGUAAUAUAUUAUACAGGUGGGUGGUGCGUGCGUUUUGACUGACAAUCGAAAUAGGAUGGUUUUGCAGCCACGUUCUGACAAUGUACGACCCUUUUGUAUUUUGAUGUGUUUAUUAGGGUUAGCUUAAAAUGAUCGUGGG